RNAcentral lists this ribosomal RNA (1720 nucleotides) under Salmonella enterica subsp. enterica. Its description in RNAcentral is "partial 23S ribosomal RNA". It matches the Rfam family "Bacterial large subunit ribosomal RNA", at positions 1239 to 2925 of the family's 2925-position model. Lineage: Bacteria; Pseudomonadati; Pseudomonadota; Gammaproteobacteria; Enterobacterales; Enterobacteriaceae. The record is from RNAcentral.
UUCUGUAAGCCUGUGAAGGUGUGCUGUGAGGCAUGCUGGAGGUAUCAGAAGUGCGAAUGCUGACAUAAGUAACGAUAAAGCGGGUGAAAAGCCCGCUCGCCGGAAGACCAAGGGUUCCUGUCCAACGUUAAUCGGGGCAGGGUGAGUCGACCCCUAAGGCGAGGCCGAAAGGCGUAGUCGAUGGGAAACGGGUUAAUAUUCCCGUACUUGGUGUUACUGCGAAGGGGGGACGGAGAAGGCUAUGUUGGCCGGGCGACGGUUGUCCCGGUUUAAGCGUGUAGGUGUGUGUUCCAGGUAAAUCCGGUUCACUUUAACACUGAGGCGUGACGACGAGGCACUACGGUGCUGAAGCAACAAAUGCCCUGCUUCCAGGAAAAGCCUCUAAGCAUCAGGUAACAUCAAAUCGUACCCCAAACCGACACAGGUGGUCAGGUAGAGAAUACCAAGGCGCUUGAGAGAACUCGGGUGAAGGAACUAGGCAAAAUGGUGCCGUAACUUCGGGAGAAGGCACGCUGACACGUAGGUGAAGUGAUUUACUCAUGGAGCUGAAGUCAGUCGAAGAUACCAGCUGGCUGCAACUGUUUAUUAAAAACACAGCACUGUGCAAACACGAAAGUGGACGUAUACGGUGUGACGCCUGCCCGGUGCCGGAAGGUUAAUUGAUGGGGUCAGCGCAAGCGAAGCUCCUGAUCGAAGCCCCGGUAAACGGCGGCCGUAACUAUAACGGUCCUAAGGUAGCGAAAUUCCUUGUCGGGUAAGUUCCGACCUGCACGAAUGGCGUAAUGAUGGCCAGGCUGUCUCCACCCGAGACUCAGUGAAAUUGAACUCGCUGUGAAGAUGCAGUGUACCCGCGGCAAGACGGAAAGACCCCGUGAACCUUUACUAUAGCUUGACACUGAACAUUGAGCCUUGAUGUGUAGGAUAGGUGGGAGGCUUUGAAGUGUGGACGCCAGUCUGCAUGGAGCCGACCUUGAAAUACCACCCUUUAAUGUUUGAUGUUCUAACGUGGACCCGUAAUCCGGGUUGCGGACAGUGUCUGGUGGGUAGUUUGACUGGGGCGGUCUCCUCCUAAAGAGUAACGGAGGAGCACGAAGGUUGGCUAAUCCUGGUCGGACAUCAGGAGGUUAGUGCAAUGGCAUAAGCCAGCUUGACUGCGAGCGUGACGGCGCGAGCAGGUGCGAAAGCAGGUCAUAGUGAUCCGGUGGUUCUGAAUGGAAGGGCCAUCGCUCAACGGAUAAAAGGUACUCCGGGGAUAACAGGCUGAUACCGCCCAAGAGUUCAUAUCGACGGCGGUGUUUGGCACCUCGAUGUCGGCUCAUCACAUCCUGGGGCUGAAGUAGGUCCCAAGGGUAUGGCUGUUCGCCAUUUAAAGUGGUACGCGAGCUGGGUUUAGAACGUCGUGAGACAGUUCGGUCCCUAUCUGCCGUGGGCGCUGGAGAACUGAGGGGGGCUGCUCCUAGUACGAGAGGACCGGAGUGGACGCAUCACUGGUGUUCGGGUUGUCAUGCCAAUGGCACUGCCCGGUAGCUAAAUGCGGAAGAGAUAAGUGCUGAAAGCAUCUAAGCACGAAACUUGCCCCGAGAUGAGUUCUCCCUGAGACUUUAGGUCUCCUGAAGGAACGUUGAAGACGACGACGUUGAUAGGCCGGGUGUGUAAGCGCAGCGAUGCGUUGAGCUAACCGGUACUAAUGAACCGUGAGGCUUAACCUUACAACGCCGAA